UACGUAGGGUGCGAGCGUUGUCCGGAAUUAUUGGGCGUAAAGAGCUCGUAGGCGGCCUGUCGCGUCGGAUGUGAAAGCCCGGGGCUUAACCCCGGGUCUGCAUUCGAUACGGGCAGGCUGGAGUGUGGUAGGGGAGAUCGGAAUUCCUGGUGUAGCGGUGAAAUGCGCAGAUAUCAGGAGGAACACCGAUGGCGAAGGCAGGUCUCUGGGCCACUACUGACGCUGAGAAGCGAAAGCAUGGGGAGCGAACAGG
This 253-nucleotide ribosomal RNA is filed under the name uncultured bacterium. Its description in RNAcentral is "partial 16S ribosomal RNA". It matches the Rfam family "Bacterial small subunit ribosomal RNA", at positions 524 to 776 of the family's 1533-position model. The record is from RNAcentral.